UUUAAAAAUGAAAUUUAUAAAUUUAUUUAAUUAUAUAAUAAAAUUAUUAAAUUUUGGUUGUAUUUUUUUUUAUAAAUUUUAUUAUUAAAAAUUUUUAAAUUAUUUAAAAAACUAGGGUUAGAUGCCUAUUAUUCUUAAAAAAUUAAUUUUAAGUAGUAAAUGGAAAAUCAUGAAACUUAAAUAACAUGGCAGUAUUUUACUCCCUGCAGAGGAAUUUGAAUAUAAUUGAUAAUCCUCUUUAUAUUUUUUUUAAGUUUUUUUAAUGUGUGGUUGUUUAAAUAAAUAAAAAAUUAUAAAUUAUAAAUCAGAUAACAUGUUUAAAUAUUUAAAUAUAUUUAAAUUACAAUUUUUUUUAUUAAAGAAUUUGCAUGUAAUAUUUUUUUAAAAAAAUAUAUGAUGGUGUUAUAAAAUAUGUUCAUAUUGUCCGUCACUCUCAGUAAU
RNAcentral lists this ribosomal RNA (441 nucleotides) under Euchirella curticauda. RNAcentral describes it as "partial 12S ribosomal RNA". Lineage: Eukaryota; Metazoa; Arthropoda; Copepoda; Calanoida; Aetideidae. The record is from RNAcentral.